Molecule: ribosomal RNA, 429 nt
Filed under: Acidobacteriota bacterium
Lineage: Bacteria; Pseudomonadati; Acidobacteriota
Description: Acidobacteria bacterium partial 16S ribosomal RNA
Rfam family: Bacterial small subunit ribosomal RNA
Source: RNAcentral
UGGGGAAUUUUGGACAAUGGGGGAAACCCUGAUCCAGCCAUCCCGCGUGUGCGAUGAAGGCCUUCGGGUUGUAAAGCACUUUUGGCAGGAAAGAAACGUCAUGGGUUAAUACCCCGUGAAACUGACGGUACCUGCAGAAUAAGCACCGGCUAACUACGUGCCAGCAGCCGCGGUAAUACGUAGGGUGCAAGCGUUAAUCGGAAUUACUGGGCGUAAAGCGUGCGCAGGCGGUUCGGAAAGAAAGAUGUGAAAUCCCAGAGCUCAACUUUGGAACUGCAUUUUUAACUACCGGGCUAGGGUGUGUCAGAGGGAGGUGGAAUUCCGCGUGUAGCAGUGAAAUGCGUAGAUAUGCGGAGGAACACGGAUGGCGAAGGCAGCCUCCUGGGAUAACACUGACGCUCAUGCACGAAGGCGUGGGGAGCAAACAGG